Pyrus x bretschneideri (Chinese white pear) is the source of this 2083-nucleotide long non-coding RNA. RefSeq lists it as uncharacterized. NCBI's taxonomy places the organism in Eukaryota, Viridiplantae, Streptophyta, Magnoliopsida, Rosales, Rosaceae. The transcript is spliced from 3 exons. The record is from RefSeq and is a predicted model, not a curated record.
CAAGUUCAAGUUGGAACGUCUCCAUGAUCUUAUGUGAAAGCAUCUUAAAGGCAAACUUCGUACAUUGUCAAUUGUUCUAGAGACACAGUAAAAGUAUGUUAUACUUUCUUGUAUUCAUCAAGCCUUGUGUUUGGUUUGGUAAGAUUAUUCUUGUUGUACCCACUAUUUUUUAUUGGAAGAUUGAUCGCUGCAUGUGGACAUAGGCACAAAUUGUCGAACCACGUAAAUCCUUGGUGUCCAUCUUUCUACUGUACUUUGUGUUUUCUCUAUCAUGUAGUACUGUCAAUCUUAACAAUCUAAGUACAGUAACGAGCAAGCGUUUUAUUUUAUGAGCACUAACUAGAAUUUAUAUUGAAACAACUUUUGGAUUUCCCUAUUAAAAUAGGAAAUUGACACGCAAUUUCAAUCUAAUCUCGAGCCCAAAGCCAAACGGCUCUCCAUUUCUCUAUUUCAAAAAAAAAAAAAAAAACCCUCUCUCAUUUCUGAUAAUAUUUAGGAACCCUAGGCCUUUCUCUCUCUAGAAACCGAGAGAGGUCUCUCUCUCCCUAAAAUACAAAGUUCUCGUUUCCUUGUAAUGAAAACCCUAGCCGCACCUCAUCUUCCAUUUCUACUUCAAUGCUUUACCCUCCUCUCUCACAUCAACACAAACCCUUCACUCUUAGCCGCUCCUCCAUAUUCGUUAUUUCUCCAAAGUCAAGCUACAAACCAUGCUCUCUGCAACUGAAAUCACACCGCCUCCAUUGCGUGCACAAGUCUAUAAACAAGUGCAGACUCCGACGGAAGAGCAAUCCCAAUAAAAACAAACCCCAAGUAAAAAUCUCUAAUGGUUGCCAUUGAGUUAUAUUGGGUUUAUUUUUAUGGAAAAGUCAACAAACUAACACAUGCACGCAUUUUUUUCUACGCGAGCUCUCGGAUCCACAACAAGAGAAACACACCAACACCCAAUCUUCACAAAUCCAUAGCCAAUCGUCCAAGAAUCCUCCCAUCUGCAGGAUCUGACUCCGACGUCUUGGAUAACGGCAUAACAAAGGAAAUGCUCGGACUGCACAGAUCCGUUGUGAACUGGAAGAUAAAGCACAUGAGGCAUGGAUCCAAAAUAAAAGAUCCAUUGGUGGUAACCAAACAAAAAACAAAGGAGAACCGCUCAAUGACAAAGAAUCCAUGUAAAAAGAAGGUAACAUAUCAUGUGUUAAUGUGUUUGAGCUCCGAUCUGUGUGAAAUCACUUAGGACACUCGGAUUCGUGAUAUAUCCGAGAGAAAAAUUGCUCAAGCUGCAGAUUCAUUUGACAAAAAGACAAACACGCUUCCAAGUUGCAGCGGCUUCAGAUUUGAAAGGUAUAAAUCCUCAUCUCUGCUGGAAUCCAUGUUGGAUAUGUAAAUUUAUGUACAUGAGUAUGGCAUGCAUGUAUUAUCUGUGAGAUCACCCCCAAACUUAAUACAAGUAAUAAUUGGAGACAAUAAUUACUGAACAAAAAUAAAUAAAAAGCUUAGAUCUGUAUGGGGACCAUUUGGACUUCAAACACUGCUUAAUAAAUAAGAAAAUUAAGCAUAUUUCACAGACAAAAAACAAAACAAUGAUAAAACUAGAAAGCAUAGUAGAGCCGAGUGAGAAAUUACUUGUACACUCCGUUACUAUCUUCUGAAAAAGCUUCCAGCUUUCAUCUUUACUUUGUAGACGAGAUUUGUGGUUCAAACCAUUUAUGUUUGUAAAGGGAGCUACUUUUGAGCAACGGCUGGUGAGUAGUAUUUGGCUUUUAUUUCUGCAUCUAUUGGAAAUCUAGAUUUCAAAGAGUUCCAUGCGUCACAACUCCAAAUGUCAUUAAGCAUCACCAAACAUUUCAUUUCUCGUUGGAUGAUGCAAAGCUUCAUCAAGCCUUGUCUUUGGUUUGGUAAGAUUAUUCUUUUUGUACCCUUUAUUUUGAUUGGAAGAUUGCUCGCUGCCCUGUGGACAUAGGCAUAAAUUGUCUAACCACGUAAAUCCUGGGUGUCUAUCUUUCUACUUUACUUUGAGGUUUUUUCUCUAUCAUGUAGUACUGUCAAUCUUAAUAGUCUAAGUACAAUAACGAGUGAGCGUGUUAUUUUA